AACGGACGCUGGCGGCAGGCUUAACACAUGCAAGUCGAGCGCCCCGCAAGGGGAGCGGCAGACGGGUGAGUAACGCGUGGGAACAUACCCUUUAGUACGGAAUAGCCUCGGGAAACUGGGAUUAAUACCGCAUACGCCCUACGGGGAAAGCGGGGACCGUUCGGGCCUCGCGCUAUCAGAUGAGCCUGCGUAGGAUUAGCUUGUUGGUGAGGUAAAGGCUCACCAAGGCGACGAUCCUUAGCUGGUCUGAGAGGAUGAUCAGCCACACUGGAACUGAGACACGGUCCAGACUCCUACGGGAGGCAGCAGUGGGAAUAUUGCGCAAUGGGCGAAAGCCUGACGCAGCCAUGCCGCGUGUGUGAAGAAGGCCCUUGGGUUGUAAAGCACUUUCAAUUGGAGAAAGGUUGCGUGUUAAUAGCACGUAGCUGUGACGUUACCUUUAGAAGAAGCACCGCGUAACUCCGUG
RNAcentral lists this ribosomal RNA (466 nucleotides) under uncultured bacterium. RNAcentral's name for it is "bacterial SSU rRNA". It matches the Rfam family "Bacterial small subunit ribosomal RNA", at positions 29 to 507 of the family's 1533-position model. The record is from RNAcentral.